CCUACGGGAGGCAGCAGUGGGGAAUUUUGGACAAUGGGCGCAAGCCUGAUCCAGCAAUGCCGCGUGAGUGAAGAAGGCCUUCGGGUUGUAAAGCUCUUUUGUCAGGGAAGAAACGGUCUACUCUAAUACAGUGGGCUAAUGACGGUACCUGAAGAAUAAGCACCGGCUAACUACGUGCCAGCAGCCGCGGUAAUACGUAGGGUGCAAGCGUUAAUCGGAAUUACUGGGCGUAAAGCGUGCGCAGGCGGUUAUAUAAGUCAGAUGUGAAAUCCCCGGGCUCAACCUGGGAACUGCAUUUGAGACUGUAUGGCUAGAGUGUGUCAGAGGGGGGUAGAAUUCCACGUGUAGCAGUGAAAUGCGUAGAUAUGUGGAGGAAUACCGAUGGCGAAGGCAGCCCCCUGGGAUAACACUGACGCUCAUGCACGAAGACGUGGGAGGACGAACAGGAGUAGAUACCUACGUAGUACCACCGACCCUAAACCGAACUAGUCUACUAGUUGUCGGGUACGUUAA
RNAcentral lists this ribosomal RNA (513 nucleotides) under uncultured bacterium. Its description in RNAcentral is "bacterial SSU rRNA". It matches the Rfam family "Bacterial small subunit ribosomal RNA", at positions 338 to 835 of the family's 1533-position model. The record is from RNAcentral.